ACGGGUGAGUAACACGUGGGCUAUCUACCCCGAGGUGAGGAAUACCAGCGAGAAAUCGCUGACAAUACCGCAUACGCUUCGUAAGAAGCAAAGUCUGCAAAGACGCCUCAGGAUGAGCCUGCGCUCGAUUAGUUGGUUGGUGGGGUAAUGGCCUACCAAGACUGCGAUCGAUAGCUGGUCUGAGAGGACGAUCAGCCACACUGGGAUUGAGAACGGCCCAGACUCCUACGGGGGGCAGCAGUGAGGAAUUUUCGUCAAUGGGGGCAACCCUGAACGAGCAACGCCGCGUGCAGGAAGAAGGUUUUCGGAUCGUAAACUGCUUUUCUCUGGGACGAGAACGGACGGUACCAGAGGAAUCAGCCUCGGCUAACUACGUGCCAGCAGCCGCGGUAAUACGUAGGAGGCGAGCGUUGUCCGGAGUUACUGGGCGUAAAGCGCACGCAGGCGGUCAGACAGUCUGGAGUGACAGUCGUCGGCUUAACCGACGAAGUGUUCUGGAAACUGUCUGACUUGAGGGCUUCAGAGGGACACGGAAUUCCGGGUGGAGUGGUGAAAUGCGUAGA
Molecule: ribosomal RNA, 563 nt
Filed under: uncultured bacterium
Lineage: Bacteria
Description: bacterial SSU rRNA
Rfam family: Bacterial small subunit ribosomal RNA
Source: RNAcentral